Mangifera indica (mango) is the source of this 2837-nucleotide RNA transcript. RefSeq lists it as uncharacterized. NCBI's taxonomy places the organism in Eukaryota, Viridiplantae, Streptophyta, Magnoliopsida, Sapindales, Anacardiaceae. The transcript is spliced from 5 exons. The record is from RefSeq and is a predicted model, not a curated record.
CCUAAUUUAUCCUAUCACAUUGUCAUUUUGAAUAGGUAAACUACUCUUUUCUUAAAUUUUCUCCCUUUCUGCUUAGCAAGGUAUCGUUUUUUCUCUUUCGAAGGGAUCAUUUUUCUGUGAAUAUGAUCGAUGGGGUGAAUUGUUAUUCAUGCUCUGGAACGAAGAAGCAUGAAAUCACAAGAAUCAUCUCGGUAGAGAUGUCGUGCUGGGAGCUGAUCUUAGGACCGAUGGACUAUUAUUUGAGAUACUAGGGCAGUCAGUCGGUGACUCUUCAAUCGAUGAAGAUGACAUCCCAAUAGUUCUAAGAUCAUGGAAGGCAAAAUUUUUUUUUAUUUACUGCAUUGCAUAUUAAGGGGAUCGGCCUCAAACGUUGAUGUGUUAGGUAUCGCAGAAGUUCAGGAGCUGCCUGCUUUUGGAUGUAUCGACAUACCACGAACUCUAUAUGAGGUCAUUGCGCAACUAGCCAAUCGCCUUGCACAGUGGGAUGAUAAGUUUUGGAGGUUUUUUCUCACGAAAAUCAGAACCCACCUUAUCCAAACCUUUAAUACUUCCACUUUUAGGUCAUCUGCAUUUGAGCAUUGUGUGCACAUACUGUACAAAGGAAUUCUUCUAAUCUUCCUUGAAGUGUAAUGUUUUUACUAUGUUAUUCCUUACAUCCAUAAUAGGAGCAGCAGAUGAAGUAAAGUUGAAGUUUAUGACUAGGUGCUUCCUCGCAUAUUGGCCUAUUUCAUAUGCUCUAUUGAAAAAAGUUUCAGUUUUGCCGGAGUCUUUUCUCUUUUCUGGUUUAUAAGAGUGAAAUGAUUACUUCAUGCCAGGAAGGAAAUUGUAUUUGAGCUUCUUCAACAUGUGAGAGGGAAUAUACCUCGAGCCUUGCUAGACGGAGUAAGAAAGAGUACUAGGGAAUGAUUGAAGAUCAAGAAGCAGUUUGCAGCAGGUUUUUUACAAUUCAAGAUGUCAUGCUGGUAAACUCCCCGAAAAUUUACAGUCAGAUAUUCUGAAUUUCAAUUAAUCUUUUUCUGCAGUCAGCCCUGACAUAAUGUGUAUGCAUUUGGUUAAAGGAUGUCAGUAGAUAGAAUUACAACUAAUUAUUUUGAAUUUCUGGAAUGGAAAGUGAGACAUUACAGUUUUCUUUAAACCUGUGGUGUUUCGCUUGAUGGUGAUCAAAGUCAAGAUUGUUGGCAGCAUCAAACUUAUGCUAUAUAGCAAAACUUUAGAUUUGACUUAUAUCAGGUUGGUUUAUUGAUCUUGGAUAUCAUCCAAACUGAGUUGUACUGAAGCUUAUACCACUUCCAAAACACACAUUUAAGUUUGUGUUUAAGAGAAUGCCAUUUGCCCAUGUCAUCCACUCUUCUUGUUUGUAAUGUGUGGAUGGAAGUUGCAUUUGCUUUAAAGUAACUCUACUUUUAAGUUGGCUCUUCCUAGUUUUAACCUCAAGAUAUUGAUAAAUAUAAUAUAUUCUUAAUGAUUUGGUAUUUUACUGGUCUACGACAUAAGAUCAACUGAAUGAUAACUGCUAAAGAUGGGGGUAAAAAAAGCUUUUAGAAGUAUUAGCAGGCAGUUUGUUUAAUUAACUUGCAUAAUUUUUGUCCCAAAAAAAUGAUUGGAAAUGAAAUAUUUCCUCCUCUAUCAAUGCUUCUUAUUUUAAGACAGAAGGGUUACAGUUAUAUUACACAUAUUUUAAGAAUUUUUGGUUGUUGUGGCCUCAUUCUUGCCAUUAUCACUGGUCUUUUUGGGAUCAACUUGGAUGGAAUACCUAGAGCUGAAGGGUCCCCAUAUGUGUUGCUCUGUCUUCUGGUAUCCUCUUCUCGUUAGGAGCUGUGCUGAUUGCAAUUGGAUAACUCUACCUUGAGUUGAAAAAUCCCAUUAAUGAUGAACAUAUUGAAGUGAGAAAACUAGAACUCCAAGAGCUUGUUAGGAUUUUUCAGCAAGAAGCACUGUCUCAUGCAUAGGUCUGAAACACAGUACUUCAUGCUACCUUGCCUCCAACUGCCACAGGUGUACUUCCAGAUGGUGCAAGUUAUGUCCUCAUCAAUUGAAUGUGGCAUUCAGGUAAGUCAAAACAUCUUAUAGUAGGUAGUGAUUUUGGCUUUGUAAUUGCAAUGAAAUAAAUGGAGGGCUUUGAGGAUCAUGUUAUAAUUUGUAAGUGGCUCUAGAAUACAAUUCAUGUUGCAUUACAAUGUGCAAUGCAAAAUUUUGGGUUCUAGAUUCUUGGUAUUGUUACUAAUAGUUGUAAAUGCUCAAAAUAAAACCACAAUAGGAACUGACUUAUUCUCAGGAAAAAGGGGAUUUUGUUCAAAGAAUAGUUUCUAUCACCCUCUCCUUUCUGCCAGGAUGGGGCCUGUUUGGUCGAAGAAGUUUCAACCACCGUACGAGCCUUGUUUGGUAGGUUCUGGGAUCUUUAAGAUCAUGAUUUGAAUGGUGGAUUUUCUCUUCUGCUUCCUGGGUUUCUAAUUAUUAAUAUUUGUAUGGAAUGAUAUCAUUAUACUUGUCAUCUCAUCAGUGUUAAUAAGUUGAAUCAUCUGUCAAUUGAAGUUACCAUAACUGAAGCAGCAGAGGAGAAAAUGCUUGGGUUGUUCAAGCAGCCAUGAUUUAGAUGCUGCAACGAAUUGUGGCAACUUAUUAAGUGUUGGACACAGCCACAGCCUGGUGAGUAAUCACAUGUUAUAAGCAAUUUGCAGCUGACCACUCCAAUGAACUGUCUGUAUUGCCAUCACUAGAAGCAGAACGUGUAGUAUAUUACUGUCCUUUGUUUUGUAGGUAGACUAAUUGUAGCUGAGCUGACACGUCUUAUUAUAUUUUAUUUUUUUGGAUGGUAUCAAAGUUGAAAGUUUCACAAA